AUUGAACGCUGGCGGCAUGCCUUACACAUGCAAGUCGAACGGCAGCGGACCUUCGGGUGCCGACGAGUGGCGAACGGGUGAGUAAUAUAUCGGAACGUACCUUUCAGUGGGGGAUAACGUAGCGAAAGUUACGCUAAUACCGCAUAUUCUGUGAGCAGGAAAGCAGGGGAUCGCAAGACCUUGCGCUGAUUGAGCGGCCGAUAUCAGAUUAGCUAGUUGGUGAGGUAAAGGCUCACCAAGGCGACGAUCUGUAGCGGGUCUGAGAGGAUGAUCCGCCACACUGGAACUGAGACACGGUCCAGACUCCUACGGGAGGCAGCAGUGGGGAAUUUUGGACAAUGGGCGCAAGCCUGAUCCAGCACUGCCGCGUGAGUGAAGAAGGCUCGUGUAG
Molecule: ribosomal RNA, 391 nt
Filed under: uncultured bacterium
Lineage: Bacteria
Description: bacterial SSU rRNA
Rfam family: Bacterial small subunit ribosomal RNA
Source: RNAcentral